Molecule: small RNA, 181 nt
Filed under: Pseudomonas sp. URMO17WK12:I2
Lineage: Bacteria; Pseudomonadati; Pseudomonadota; Gammaproteobacteria; Pseudomonadales; Pseudomonadaceae
Description: Pseudomonas sRNA P1
Source: RNAcentral
ACACCCGUAUUGUUGGAUUAUGUGGGGUUUAAUCGAGCUUAUCCUCGUUCGUUUUUUUAUACAACCUGUUCAUAUUGGCGAGCUAACGUCGCCCGCUCCAGGCCGGAAACGCUGCACUGCCCUUUUGUGGAAAUGCUCUGAAACGCCCUAAAAAUGGCCAUCAAGCCCUUGUUUAGGGCAG